CCUACGGGUGGCAGCAGUGAGGAAUAUUGGUCAAUGGGCGAGAGCCUGAACCAGCCAAGUCGCGUGAGGGAGUACUGCCCUCUGGGUUGUAAACCUCUUUUGUCGGGGAGCAAAAGCCGGGCGUGUUCGGCUGUGAGAGUACCCGAAGAAAAAGCAUCAGCUACCUCCGUGCCAGCAGCCGCGGUAGUACGGAGGAUGCGGGCGUUAUCCGGAUUUAUUGGGUUUAAGGGGAGCGCGGGCGGAUUUUUAAGUCAGCGGUAAAAUCGUGGGGCUCAACCCCAUCCAGCCGGUGAAACUGGGGAUCUAGAGUGUGCGAGAGGUAGGCGGAAUGCGUGGUGUAGCGGUGAAAUGCAUAGAGAUCACGCAGAACCCCGAUGGCGAAGGCAGCAUACUGGUGCACAACUGACGCUCAGGUACGAAAGCGUGGGUAUCGAACAGGAUUAGAUACCCUAGUAGUC
RNAcentral lists this ribosomal RNA (458 nucleotides) under uncultured bacterium. Its description in RNAcentral is "partial 16S ribosomal RNA". It matches the Rfam family "Bacterial small subunit ribosomal RNA", at positions 338 to 795 of the family's 1533-position model. The record is from RNAcentral.